UAAAUUAUGUAUGUUGUCAAA
This 21-nucleotide non-coding RNA is filed under the name Caenorhabditis elegans. Lineage: Eukaryota; Metazoa; Nematoda; Chromadorea; Rhabditida; Rhabditidae. The record is from RNAcentral.